RNAcentral lists this ribosomal RNA (253 nucleotides) under uncultured bacterium. RNAcentral's name for it is "partial 16S ribosomal RNA". It matches the Rfam family "Bacterial small subunit ribosomal RNA", at positions 524 to 776 of the family's 1533-position model. The record is from RNAcentral.
UACGUAGGUGGCAAGCGUUGUCCGGAUUUACUGGGCGUAAAGAGCGCGCAGGCGGUCGAUUUAGUCGCGUGUGAAAGCCCCCGGCUCAACUGGGGAGGGUCACGCGAUACUGAUCGACUCGAAGGCAGGAGAGGGUAGUGGAAUUCCCGGUGUAGUGGCGAAAUUCGUAGAUAUCGAGAGGAACACCGGUGGCGAAGGCGGCCAACUGGACGAAUACUGACGCUGAGACUCGAAAGCGUGGGGAGCAAACAGG